Molecule: ribosomal RNA, 800 nt
Filed under: Phaeococcomyces sp. DTO 296-F1
Lineage: Eukaryota; Fungi; Ascomycota; Arthoniomycetes; Lichenostigmatales; Phaeococcomycetaceae
Description: eukaryotic LSU rRNA
Rfam family: Eukaryotic large subunit ribosomal RNA
Source: RNAcentral
CGGCGAGUGAAGCGGCAACAGCUCAAAUUUGAAAUCUGGCGCAAGCCCGAGUUGUAAUUUGUAGAGGAUGCUUCGGCGUCGGCCCCGUUCUAAGUUCCUUGGAACAGGACGUCCUAGAGGGUGAGAACCCCGUCUUCGAUCGGGUCGCCGUCGCCAUGUGAAGCUCCUUCGACGAGUCGAGUUGUUUGGGAAUGCAGCUCUAAGCGGGAGGUAAAUUUCUUCUAAAGCUAAAUAACGGCCAGAGACCGAUAGCGCACAAGUAGAGUGAUCGAAAGAUGAAAAGCACUUUGGAAAGAGAGUUAAAAAGUACGUGAAAUUGUUGAAAGGGAAGCUCAAGCUGCCAGACUUGGCCGCGCCUCUUCGGUGGCGCGGGCAGGCCAGCAUCAGUUCGGGCGGCCUGAUAAAGACCUUUGGAAUGUAGCUCCCCCGGGAGUGUUAUAGCCUUGGGUGUAAUGGGGUCAGCCUGGACUGAGGAUCGCGUUCGCUAGGAUGCUGGCGUAAUGGCAGUUUGCGACCCGUCUUGAAACACGGACCAAGGAGUCUAACAUCUGUGCGAGUGUUUGGGUGUAAAACCCAUGCGCGUAAUGAAAGUGAACGGAGGUGGGAAGCGCAAGCUGCACCAUCGACCGAUCCUGAUGUCUUCGGAUGGAUUUGAGUAAGAGCAUAGCUGUUGGGACCCGAAAGAUGGUGAACUAUGCCUGAAUAGGGUGAAGCCAGAGGAAACUCUGGUGGAGGCUCGCAGCGGUUCUGACGUGCAAAUCGAUCGUCAAAUUUGGGUAUAGGGGCGAAAGACUAAUCGA